RNAcentral lists this ribosomal RNA (662 nucleotides) under Bacteroides fragilis. Its description in RNAcentral is "bacterial SSU rRNA". It matches the Rfam family "Bacterial small subunit ribosomal RNA", at positions 878 to 1533 of the family's 1533-position model. The record is from RNAcentral. Lineage: Bacteria; Pseudomonadati; Bacteroidota; Bacteroidia; Bacteroidales; Bacteroidaceae.
GAGUACGGUCGCAAGACUGAAACUCAAAGGAAUUGACGGGGGCCCGCACAAGCGGUGGAGCAUGUGGUUUAAUUCGAAGCAACGCGAAGAACCUUACCAGGUCUUGACAUCUUCUGACAAUUCCAGAGAUGGAACGUUCCCUUCGGGGACAGAAUGACAGGUGGUGCAUGGUUGUCGUCAGCUCGUGUCGUGAGAUGUUGGGUUAAGUCCCGCAACGAGCGCAACCCUUAUUGUCAGUUGCCAUCAUUAAGUUGGGCACUCUGGCGAGACUGCCGGUGACAAACCGGAGGAAGGUGGGGAUGACGUCAAAUCAUCAUGCCCCUUAUGACCUGGGCUACACACGUGCUACAAUGGACGGUACAACGAGUCGCUAACUCGCGAGGGCAAGCUAAUCUCUUAAAGCCGUUCUCAGUUCGGAUUGCAGGCUGCAACUCGCCUGCAUGAAGUCGGAAUCGCUAGUAAUCGCGAAUCAGCAUGUCGCGGUGAAUACGUUCCCGGGCCUUGUACACACCGCCCGUCACACCAUGAGAGUUUGUAACACCCAAAGUCGGUGGGGUAACCUUUUGGAGCCAGCCGCCUAAGGUGGGACAGAUGAUUGGGGUGAAGUCGUAACAAGGUAGCCGUAGGAGAACCUGCGGCUGGAUCACCUCCUUUCUAAGGAA